Molecule: non-coding RNA, 70 nt
Organism: Podarcis lilfordi (Lilford's wall lizard)
Lineage: Eukaryota; Metazoa; Chordata; Lepidosauria; Squamata; Lacertidae
Source: the annotation of a GenBank genome assembly
UAGUAGCUCAGUCAGUAGAGCAUAAGACUCUUAAUCUCAGGGUUGUGGGUUCAAGCUCCACACUGGACAA